GUCUAUGGCCAUACCACCCUGAACGCGCCCGAUCUCGUCUGAUCUUGGAAGCUAAGAAGGGUCGGGCCUGGUUAGUACUUGGAUGGGAGAAUAAAGGGGAUUAUGAAUA
This 109-nucleotide ribosomal RNA is filed under the name Neogale vison (American mink). The record is from RNAcentral. Lineage: Eukaryota; Metazoa; Chordata; Mammalia; Carnivora; Mustelidae.